UGUUUUUUACUUUUUUUUGGAAUGACCAUGACCUGGAUGACAAAGAUAGUUCAUGAAUGCAUUAGACAACAUCAAAACUACCUGAUGGGCACGGCUGUGGUGUGGGGUGGAGCAUGCGACGCAUGUUUGGAGGCCCGAGUCCUCGCUGUGGCCAUCCUAGGUCCGAGUCCCGGAGUAUGGACCUUUGCACCUGUCUCCCCCUUCUCUACCAACCCCAUGUCCUGUCAGUUAACUGUCAUAUAGGCUACUACUGCCACAAAAUAAAAUAAAACAUAAAAAAAACACCUGAGUUCAGUCUAAAGUGGAUCAUGAGGCGGAUUUGCCUUAAACUGGAUGGUUGCAUCAUGCACAAAACUUUGUUUUAAAAGGUCUUUAUGCAACUAACUCUGGUUUGGACAAGUUUCAUGAAUUCUUUGUGGCGUUUAAGUCUCCUGACAAAAGAAAAAUGUACAUGCUCAAAAUAUGAGAGUGACAAAAAUAUAUUAAAAUUCUCAGAAAAGCAUGGGAUGUAAAUGCAACACAAAUGUGGAAAUGGUUAAACAACAUCGUGAUCUGUGACCGGUCCAAAGUCUCACGAAGAGACACUAACAAACACAGUUAUCUUUUUCUUCUUGUUUGAUUUGGCUUCUUUAAAGAUAAACUGACCUUUGUCUGUUUGUUUGUUUUUUCUUUUUUUUACUUUUAUCGUUUGUAGUGUGUCAGAGGUUUAAACAUCAGGAAGAAGAUGGUUACCGCUCUACCAGUGGCUCCAACAUAUCCAGGAAGCAGCAAUGCUCAGUUAGAUCACAUCACUCUCUGUGUUCAGAUGAUGAUUGGGUUUCUAAAUGCCCGUCAGGUUGCAGACUUCAGAGCUUGAUCUCGCAAAUGGAAAAUGACGUGGAAAGAAAACUGCAGACGUUCUGUCAAAAGGCAAAGACGUACGAAAACGCAAUGGAGGAGUCAAUGACGGCCAUGACGCACAUCUACAACUCCAACCGCAGAGUGAUAGUCCACAGAUACAUCUCAGAGCUGAAGUUUGUGGAACGUGCGGACAGACUGGUCGGGAACGUCACAGAACUACGGCAGCGAUCGCGACUUCUGGCACAGAAAAUAAGGGAGUUGAGCGGUCAUGUGAGAAAACAGGUGGCGGAGUUAUAUCGAACGGAGGUAAGGAUGAAACGAAGAGCUAUGAAAG
Fundulus heteroclitus (mummichog) is the source of this 1174-nucleotide long non-coding RNA. RefSeq lists it as uncharacterized. The record is from RefSeq and is a predicted model, not a curated record. The transcript is spliced from 3 exons. NCBI's taxonomy places the organism in Eukaryota, Metazoa, Chordata, Actinopteri, Cyprinodontiformes, Fundulidae.